UCCGUGUUGACCACGGCAGUCUCUUAUGAGUCCUCGCCAUAACGCGUUAGCAACAUAAGACAAGGGUUGCGCUCGUUGCGGGACUUAACCCAACAUCUCACGACACGAGCUGACGACAGCCAUGCACCACCUAUCGCAGGCCCCGAAGGACACCAUAUCUCUAUGGCUUUUCCUACGUAGUUCAAUCCAGGUAAGGUUCUUCGCGUUGCAUCGAAUUAAGCAACAUGCUCCGCUGCUUGUGCGGGUCCCCGUCAAUUCCUUUGAGUUUUAGCCUUGCGGCCGUACUCCCCAGGCGGGAUACUUAAUGCGUUAGCGACGGCGCGGAGAAAGUUGGUUAUUCCCCACACCUAGUAUCCACCGUUUACGGCGUGGACUAC
RNAcentral lists this unclassified non-coding RNA (377 nucleotides) under uncultured Actinomycetes bacterium. RNAcentral describes it as "uncultured actinobacterium contains 16S-23S intergenic spacer region". Lineage: Bacteria; Bacillati; Actinomycetota; Actinomycetes. The record is from RNAcentral.